RNAcentral lists this unclassified non-coding RNA (204 nucleotides) under uncultured Umbelopsis. RNAcentral's name for it is "sequence contains ITS1". Lineage: Eukaryota; Fungi; Mucoromycota; Umbelopsidomycetes; Umbelopsidales; Umbelopsidaceae. The record is from RNAcentral.
CCAAAAGAUAAUCUUUCAACAUUGAAAGAUCUUACCUUUGUGCUGGCUUUGACAGUUUUGUACUUUUGGGGCUUUAAAAUGGUUCAGUAGUUAAAGGAGGGAGCAAUCCUUUUUUUAUGCUACUGGGUCGGCCCCAAAUAAUCAUAUCAUCCUUUAAAAUUUUUUCUGAUUAAUUAACACAUGAUUUUAAUAAUCUGUUUAAAA